Molecule: ribosomal RNA, 397 nt
Filed under: uncultured bacterium
Lineage: Bacteria
Description: bacterial SSU rRNA
Rfam family: Bacterial small subunit ribosomal RNA
Source: RNAcentral
AUUGAACGCUGGCGGCGUGCUUAACACAUGCAAGUCGUGCGGUAACAGGCGUAGCAAUACGUGCUGACGAGCGGCGAACGGGUGCGUAAUACAUGGGAAUCUGCCCUUUAGUGGGGAAUAACCCGGCGAAAGCCGGGCUAAUGCCGCAUAAGAUCUUCGGAUGAAAGCGGGGGAUCGUAAGACCUCGCGCUGAUGGAUGAGCCCAUGUCGGAUUAGCAGUUGGUGAGGUAACGGCUCACCAAGGCGACGAUCCGUAGCUGGUCUGAGAGGACGGCCAGCCACACUGGGACUGAGACACGGCCCAGACUCCUACGGGAGGCAGCAGUGGGGAAUAUUGGACAAUGGGGGAAACCCUGAUCCAGCGACGCCGCGUGUGUGAAGAAGGCCUGCGGGUUGU